AUGCCAGCUCCACAACAAAAAAAUCACCCAAAGAAAGCUGGAGAUUUUACAAAGGAAAAACAGAAGCAAAAAAAUAAUUAGCAUUGUAAUACUUCACAUCAUCAAGCUUGAAAGAAAAUGGAGACAAACUAUUGAAAGUGAGAACAUAAGUCAAAUAAAAACAGAACUUUCAGGUGACUUUGCAAGUUAAAUCCCUGCAUCUCUUUGACCUUGGCAACUCAGUCAAUAUUACUUGCCUAUCAAAAUUGCAAAGCAAAGCAACUGUAAAUUACUGAGGACAAAAAUUGUUGGGAGAGAAAACUUACAAUUUCCCAAGUAUAAUAAUACAGAUAAACAGAAGUCAAUCAAAUGCCCAAUUUUCUAUUUUAUGUUAUUUCUUUCAGGAAUCUCUCCACCUUCUCUCUGCCAUACACAUACACACAAGCACAGGAUUAGAGUAGAUGGUUCUGAAUGAUCUCUCAAAGUAUCCUGUACUCCCCUUAUUCUAGCAGACAUCACAUAUUAUUGACAAUGAUUACACUGUCUUUCUUGGUGUUAAAGUAUAUUUAGCCUUGAGUAACAUAAUCCCAAAUAAAAUGACUUAGUAAGGAUAUUUAUUAUCUACUUAACAUGAAAAUGGGCAAUAGGUGGCUCAAGACGGUCAUCAAAGGUUCAACUUCUUCCUUGCCUUCCUUCCUAUCAUCCUCAACUAAUCAAUUCUUCCCUUCAUGGUCACAAAAUGGCUACAGAAUUUCUCCAGACAGACGCAGGAUGGAAUCCUGGUUGAGUCAAAUCCAUACUGAGUGGAUAACUGUGUGUCCUGGUUUUGUCUGGGGAAAUUCCUUUUUACCUAAGUUGUCUGGACUUAAUUAUUCAUAGUACACCCUCCCCCUUUUCAUGCUCAAAAGUGUUUCUGAAUGAGAAAUUAUGUGGUCACUCUCUUGGAGGUACUGAGGAAAGUUUCUUUAAGUGGUUGAGCCCCAAUUUUCUUUAUAAAUGAUAACAUUUCUGGAAUGAGGUACGUGUGAGAAUUGAAUGGGAUAUUUUGUGUAAAGUACCCAAUAUCUGGUUGAUCCUGAAAGGAUGACAGCUCUUCAGAUAAUCUGCUUUGUUAUCAAAGAUGAACUGGAAGGUGGAAAAUUAGGUAGAGUAUCACAUUAAAAUUAUUCAGAUGACAAGAAAUAAAGAAGUAAAAGAAGGAAAAAUUGGGGCAAGCUGGAAUUGGAGGACUUAAAGACAAAUUGCAAUGUGGGCAUAACUGGAAGAAGUGAAAAGAAAACUCUUUGGUUGUGAACUUGAAGGAUGGAAAGUUACUGAUUCCAUUAAAUAAAAUAUGAAAUAGACUUCAAGAGCAGCAAAGAGGAGAGAUGGAGAAGAUUUUUAGGUCCAUUUUGGACCUCUCCGAUUUGACAAGCCAUGUAUUAAGAAAUAUACAUCUCUAUCUGGAAACUGGAAAUGAUGCUUAAGAAGUCAAGAUGGAGCCUGGGGCUGGAAAGAGACAUUUAAGAAUUAUCCAUAUGCAAUUGUAGAAGCUAAAGAAAGAAACUGUCAAGGCAGAAAGAAGACAAAUUAGACCAAAUUCAAAUACUUAAUGAAAGGAUUUAUAUUUAAGGUUGGGAGUUACAGUUUGGUUUGUGUCAUAAACUAAAAAGAUAUUGAUCCAAGGAUCUGUUCUUGAGGGAAAAAAAUGGGGGCCAGCUCAGUACUCAGAAAACCAUCUAAUUUUUAUUUUGUUUUGUUUUGUUUUGUUUUGUUUUGUUGUUGUUUGAGCAGAGAAGGCUUUAUUGCAGAGCCAAGGAAGGAGAACAGGUGGCUCAUGCCCCAAAACACCUGAACUCUCCAAAGGGUUUCAGCAAAGCAUUUUUUCCAAGAAAACAAAAUGUUUAUUUGUAAGCAUGCAACAAAACUUAGUUAUUAUUCCAGUUCUCAUUUUCCUGCCCACCUUCCUGUCUUUAUUCAUCACACCUCCAGCCCUUCCAGUGCACACUGUGUGACUCAGGAAUUCUCAACUCUAUGCCCCAAUAUGUCAUUGAAAACUGUCAAAUCUGAAUGUGUGAAUUCAUUAUGCUUCCAACUCUCUGCUUCAUUCUACAUAAAACUCUAAUCACAUAUAGUUUGUAUCAAACCUACAACAAAUGACAUUAAAAAAAAAAUCAAUCCUCAACACACUUAUAAGCAAUGACUAUGCCUUUCUUUGGAGUCGUUUUGUCACUUGUGUUGCUUUGUCACCAUUAUCACAUGUCUGUUCCAGGAGUAAGUGCAGUUAUUCACACAGGAAGUACAGCAACUUUCCCUCUGAAACCAUGGGUCAAAGCAAUCUGAUCACCACCUUACUUCUGAAGCUCUCCAAAUAGUUUUUUGUUGUUGUUUUUUAAAGACACCAGAUACUUCCCUUACUUUCAUUAAAAGCUAUAAUAUUAAUGUUAAUAACCAUAAACAGAAUAGUAAUGAUAAAUUCAGCUUUAUUAUUAUUGACUUCAAUUUUCAUUACUAUUUGUAUAUUUUCAUAGGAAUGGUGUUUAAUUUUUAACUGCAUUGCCUCUAAUCCAUAAAAAUCAGGUGUUUACUAGCUCAAAUUUUUCAAAUGCCAAAAGAAUCUCUGUUUUUUUCAGUGGUUUCAGUAAAUUAUAAUCCAAUUCACUAUAAAACUAUCCACAUUUUCUAAAUAUUAUCCAAAAUGUAACACUCUCUGGAAGGGGUCACUUCUCAUCAGACACAGAAUGAAAUAAUCCCCUUCCUCCCUAUAUCCUGAUGCUUUAUCCCCACAUCCAAAUAAAAUCAAGUCAAUCUUUCUGUUGAACUAAAAACUCCAAAUACUGCCUCUCUAUGGCAGUAUCCUGUGGUAUUGAUACCUUCCACUGAUUGCAUGACCCCAACCUAAUUCUAUAUUGCUCAGUAAAAAGAAAAGAGAAUCUCAGUUAAAGUAUGCCAACAGCAAAUGGGAUAUCUUUUCCAAGUAAUACCACCAACAACAAAAUACCUUGAAAAAAAGGUUUCAACUGUAUCUAGGAGUUCCCAUCAUGGAACAGUGGAAACAAAACUGACUAGGAUCUGUGAGGAUACGGAUUCUAUGCCUGGCCUCGCUCAGUGGGUUAAGAAUCCAGCAUUGCCGUGAGCUGUGGUAUAGGUCACAGACACAACUUGGAUCUGGUGUUGCUGCAGCUGUGGCGUAGGCUUGCAGCUACAGCUCUAAUUGAAUCCCUGGCCUGGGGACCUCCAUAUGCUGCCACGGCCCUAAUAAGACAAAAACGCAAAAAAAAAAAAAAAAAGCAAAAAAAACCCAAUAUUUAUAUUAUGACCCUAUCAUAUUAUCAAUUAGAAAGGUCUUUUGCUAUUGGAUAGAAUUUUAUUUUUAAAAAAAGAAGGAAGAAGUAAAUUGAUGACCUAGGAACAUCUAAACAGGAUAAAUAAAAUUCUCAGUCCUUAAAAGAUCAUGUACUUCCCAAUACAGGUAUUCAUAUAAAUAUCCUCAUUCUUGAUUCGGUAUUAAGAAGGCCAGGCAAGUUAAGGAUCUAGCAUUGUUACUACUGUGGUGUGGGUUUGAUCCUUGGAUGGUGAACUUUCACAUGCUAGGGCCAUGGCCAAAAAAUAAAUAAACAAUAAGGCUAGGCUAAUUCUCAAGCCUAAUAGGACAUUUUGGGAGGGCAGCAUACCAACUAUCUUCCCCAAUUUCCACUGCCAGAGUGCAGCAAUAAAUUUAGAUUACAUAAGGCAGAUACUGGCAAAUGUAGGCAAGAAAAGACACCACUUCCCCAACUCAAACGAUAUACUCCAGAUAUUUCUGUCAGUUCAUGAAGACACUAGACCACCAAAGUAUCAACAUUAACAAAACUUACUUAUUUCAGAUAAUAAAAUAUUUUCCGAGAGUUAUUCUAAAUCUUGUAAUAUUUAAAGCCUUUGUGCAAUCAUUAAUUGAUCAAAUAUUGUUUUCCUGGAGAACUGAUUUAAUUUGAGGGAAACUAUCUUUUUCAGUUUAAAGAGUAGGGACAGGAAAAAUACUUUUUAAGGCAAAAUUUUACUGAUUUGUUCGCUCAUUACAAAAUGAGUAAAAAAAAAUGAGGAGUUCCCGUCGUGGAACAGUGGUUAACAAAUCCGACUGAGAACCAUGAGGUUGCGGGUUCUGUCCCUGCCCUUGCUUAGUGGGUUGACGAUCCAGCAUUGCCGUGAGCUGUGGUGUGGGUCACAGACGCGGCUCGGAUCCUGCGUUGCUGUGGCUCUGGCAUGGGCCUGUGGCUACAGCUUUGAUUCGACCCCUGGCCUGGGAACCUCCAUAUGCCACGGGAGCAGCCCAAGAAAUAGCAAAAAGACAAAAAAGAAAAAAAAAAAAAAGAGUAAAAAUGAAAUACAGGAUUUCCUGUAGUGGCACAGUGGUUAACGAAUCCAACUAGGAACCAUGAGGUUGUGGGUUCAAUCCCUGGCCUUGCUCAGUGGGUUAAGGAUCCUGCGUUGCCGUGAGCCGUGGUAUAGGUCGCAGACGCGGCUCUGAUCCCAGCAUUGCUGUGGCUCUGGCGUAGGCUGACGGCUACAGCUCCAAUUCGACCCCCAGCCUGGGAACCUCCAUCUGCAGCAGGAGCAGCCCAAGAAAUGGCAAAAAGAACAACAAAAAAAAAGAUUAAAUAAAAAAAUAAAUGAAAUACAAGGCAAUUAACAUCAUUUCUAGGCCAAUAGCUUUUUGCUCCCUAAAUACCAUACAGAAAAAUAAAAUAAUAAUCAAGUAUAUAUACAUAUUUUAAGUUAUUCACUACUAUGCAUUUAGUAUUUGGGUAAUAUAUUCUGUGCAAAAUUGUGCUUCCAGAAUUCUACCCACUGUCCUUGUGCAAGCCCUACCCGCUCACAAAUUAUGGCACUAAUCUUGGUCCUUACAGCUUCUAAAAACUCCUUUAGUGUAUGUGUCUAUGUCACCUCACUUAUUUCAGUCUUGGACUCAUCAGUGGACCAAGGACUGACCGAGGACUGACCAAGGACCUCCUUUUCUCUCAAAUAAGAGUCCACUAAAAAUAGCAUCCUCUCAUAUCAUACCUACUGUACCCUUAUUCCAGCAUUUCCAGAAUAGAAUAGGUUGCUGGUGAGUAAAUUUAGUCUUGCUUUCCUCAAGAAAUGUGGUCCACACUCAGGACUUCAAUUUUACUGUUUUCAUUAACAAAUUUUUGUUCCAAGGCAUAUGCAAGGACGAUAAAUUUGUGA
Molecule: long non-coding RNA, 5163 nt
Filed under: Sus scrofa (pig)
Lineage: Eukaryota; Metazoa; Chordata; Mammalia; Artiodactyla; Suidae
Description: lncRNA (ENSSSCG00000058850.1)
Source: RNAcentral